UCGGUGCCGCAGCUAACGCAUUAAGUACUCCGCCUGGGAAGUACGCUCGCAAGAGUGAAACUCAAAGGAAUUGACGGGGACCCGAACAAGUAGCGGAGCAUGUGGUUUAAUUCGAAGCAACGCGAAGAACCUUACCUAAGCUUGACAUCCCAAUGACAUCUCCUUAAUCGGGGAGUUCCCUUCGGGGACAUUGGUGACAGGUGGUGCAUGGUUGUCGUCAGCUCGUGUCGUGAGAUGUUGGGUUAAGUCCCGCAACGAGCGCAACCCUUGUCUUUAGUUGCCAUCAUUAAGUUGGGCACUCUAGAGA
RNAcentral lists this ribosomal RNA (307 nucleotides) under Clostridioides difficile. RNAcentral describes it as "bacterial SSU rRNA". It matches the Rfam family "Bacterial small subunit ribosomal RNA", at positions 840 to 1146 of the family's 1533-position model. The record is from RNAcentral. Lineage: Bacteria; Bacillati; Bacillota; Clostridia; Peptostreptococcales; Peptostreptococcaceae.